AAUGYUCCCCAGGGKRYUUCUUUCCCAGAACCCKUUCUUCCCGCUCGCCCCCSCYKWGGGKGUGAURRAUAUUUUUYYSWWWAACCCUUAGAGUUUGAUCCUGGCUCAGAACGAACGCUGGCGGCGUGCUUAACACAUGCAAGUCGAACGUGAUCCAGAGCUUGCUCUGGUGAAAGUGGCGCACGGGUGAGUAACGCGUGGAUAACCUGCCCUGGUAUCUGGGAUAACAUCUCGAAAGGGGUGCUAAUACCGGAUAAGCCUACGGGCUCUUCGGAGUCUGCAGGAAAAGGAGGCCUCUAUUUAUAAGCUUCCGUAUCAUGAUGGGUCCGCGUACCAUUAGCUAGUUGGUGGGGUAAUGGCCUACCAAGGCGACGAUGGUUAGCUGGUCUGAGAGGAUGAUCAGCCACACUGGAACUGAGACACGGUCCAGACUCCUACGGGAGGCAGCAGUGGGGAAUUUUGCGCAAUGGGGGAAACCCUGACGCAGCAACGCCGCGUGAGUGAUGAAGGCUUUCGGGUCGUAAAGCUCUGUCAGAGGGGAAGAAAUGGGUCGUGCUAAUAUCGCGACUUCUUGACGGUACCCUCAAAGGAAGCACCGGCUAACUCCGUGCCAGCAGCCGCGGUAAUAC
This 629-nucleotide ribosomal RNA is filed under the name uncultured Geobacteraceae bacterium. RNAcentral describes it as "bacterial SSU rRNA". The stretch from base 83 to 629 matches the Rfam family "Bacterial small subunit ribosomal RNA", at positions 1 to 526 of the family's 1533-position model. The record is from RNAcentral. Lineage: Bacteria; Pseudomonadati; Thermodesulfobacteriota; Desulfuromonadia; Geobacterales; Geobacteraceae.